UACGUAGGGGGCAAGCGUUGUCCGGAUUUAUUGGGCGUAAAGGGCGCGUAGGCGGCCUGGCAAGUGGAAGGUGAAAUCCCUCGGCUUAACCGAGGAACUGCCCUCCAAACUGCUUGGCUUGAGUCCGGGAGAGGUGAGUGGAAUUCCCAGUGUAGCGGUGAAAUGCGUAGAUAUUGGGAGGAACACCGGUGGCGAAGGCGGCUCACUGGACCGGAACUGACGCUGAGGCGCGAAAGCGUGGGGAGCAAACGGG
Molecule: ribosomal RNA, 253 nt
Filed under: uncultured bacterium
Lineage: Bacteria
Description: partial 16S ribosomal RNA
Rfam family: Bacterial small subunit ribosomal RNA
Source: RNAcentral